Molecule: ribosomal RNA, 474 nt
Filed under: Triticum aestivum (bread wheat)
Lineage: Eukaryota; Viridiplantae; Streptophyta; Magnoliopsida; Poales; Poaceae
Description: partial small subunit ribosomal RNA
Source: RNAcentral
AUGUCUUCUUCAAGCUCCCGCGCCACGUCGCAGAUGCAGAACCCGGCGCGCGUGGAGAUGCCUAUCUUCGUCUGUGCGCGGUGCCGGGCGGCUAUUGAUCUGAGGGUUUCUCACACACCGAGGAACCAGAAUCGUCCGUUCUACGUGUGCAGCGAGAAUGGGGUGAAAUGUUUCUUCCUUUGGGCCGAUGCUCUGGCCAAGACUCUGAUGAAUGAACUGCAAGAAGAGCAUGAUGAAUGGUUGUGCAUGCUGCCACGAACGGCAGUGGCCGCAACACGAGCUCCUGGAGAAGAGAUGGAGGGCGAAGCACGCACUGACAGAGAGCUAGCUGUUGCUGUUGAGCUUAGGAUGUUGAAGAAGAAGGUUAGGAAGCUUGAAGAUCAAGCACAAAUACCCUUUUGCAAUUACUUUUGGGCAUUUGUAGCUAUGGUAAUCGCGUAGGGUGUAAUGCUGAAAUUGUAUGGAAAGGCAUGA